This is a long non-coding RNA of Homo sapiens (human), 1894 nucleotides long. Ensembl annotates it as RETREG1 antisense RNA 1. Its record names the gene RETREG1-AS1. The record is from Ensembl. Lineage: Eukaryota; Metazoa; Chordata; Mammalia; Primates; Hominidae.
CAGGGGAAGGAAAAAACAAAUCAUUCAGGGCCCAUCUCAGGUGACUGAUGAAUGCGGCACCGUUUUGAACGGGUACCUAAUCUGGUCCAGAUAUGCCUGCUGGGGCUGCAAGAACCAAGACACGUUCAAGCACGUUUGCUCCGGCAAGCUUGGGCGAGCAGGUCAAGACCUCAGAGUUUUAGAAAGCAGGGGCGAAGUUUUCAAGCACGAUGGGAACACCUGUAGGUGCAGGUGCCUGAGGGUCGGCCGACCACCUCGCAUCUGAGGCUGGAUCCGCACACGGAGAACGACAACUGCUCACAGGGACGUGCGUCCGGAGGAAAGUUGCGCCCCAGCUCUGUCCCUUGCCCUGGGAAUCUGCCUGCAGGACUGCUUGGAGGGCCAGCAGUCUCCCUUGACUUGGUUCUGCACCCGGGACUGACCGGCUACGUGGGCAGUGCAACCAGAACAUCCCCCGUCACCGUUCCAUUUCCGGAAAGUGAGGCCUCUCCCUUCAGAAGACAGCACUUGGCCUGGCAGUGUGUGAGUUCAGAGGCAAGCUGUCCGAACCGUCACCCAAACCUGACGCGAAUGGAACAACUGUGUUACACAGAAGCACAAGAUCACAACCAGCAACAAAAAUCAAAAUAAGCCAUCUUCUGGAAACACUUUCAUAAUACUACAAAAAUUACAAGAAACCCUCUAAGUUACCUGUGUACUUUCUAUGCUACUAGGCUAAGUUCAUGGACAGUCAGGAUUUAUCUUUUACAGGUUGCAUAGGACGCUCAUCGUACAAUGAUGGAAAACAGCCUGGCCCACAUGGCAAAACCUGGUCUCCACCAAAAAGUAUAAAAAUUAGCCCGGUGUGAUGGUGCGUGCCUGUAGUCCUAGCUACUCCUCGGGAGGCUGAGGUGGGAGGAUUGCUUGAGCCCUGGAAGGCUGUAGUGAACCAAGAUUGCACCAUUGCACUCCGGCCUGGGCAACAGUGUGAGACCCUGUCUCAAAAAUGAGAAGAAUGAAAAUUAAAAGGAUGAAAACAGUAUAUGAAAACCAAGCUUCCCGUACGAUGCCCUGCAUCUGUUGACAUUUUCUUGUCCUUGCGAGAAUCUUCCUACCACUCCAUGAAUCGACCUCUAGUACGGCUUAAACACUAAGUGGUCACAUAGCUAACCCCAGACAGGCUUAGAAGAUAAACCAAGAGGACAACUUCUUUGGGGGGAAAUAAAGUACACACUAGGAAGGAAUCUUAUUCCUUUGCCCGGAGCAAGCCCAGACUUUAAGAUUUGAUGCUCAGGGUUCGGGCAGCCAGCCUGGUUACCUGUCUCUUUGAAUAUCUUCUCAUCUGGGGGGACGACAGAGCAGAGGCUGUUGAGGACCAGGGUCCCCAGUUUGAGCGCGUUCUUCUCUGAACUCUUGUAGUAAUCCAGGGAAUUGUGGGUGAGUACAAACCACCGUUUCUUCAGUUUCAGUGAAGACAUCUUUGGACUGUUCUUCACCUCUUUGUGCAACCAUCCUGGAAAAAAAGAUUAAAGUGUAAAUUAAAAUCUGUGAGGAGAAACCCCAAAGACCACACAAUCAUCUGCAUAAUGCUAACACAUGGGUGGGGUUUCUAGCUGUUUGCCAGAAAAAGACCACGAACACCCCAACCCGAUGUAAAUGGAACGACUACAUGAAAGAAAAGCCCAAAAUCACAACUAGCAACAAAAAACAUGACCCUCUAGAAACACUUUAUAAUAUCACAAAUUAAAAAUCACUUACAAAAUCUCCAACAGUUAAAAUGACUGGGAAAAGCAGCUCGAAAUGAAAAUGCUGCAGAUGUCUAUAUGCAAAUGGAAAGGGGAGUCUGUUAAGCAGACCGAGGAAGCAGGGCAGGCAGUCACCUCUCACGAUGAAUUCCUGGCCCUCCACUCUGGUG